UGAAGUAUUGUGACUGCUCCUUUUUUGUGCUUCUAAUCUGUGAUUGGAAUGUUGAACCUGACAUUUUGACACUUUCUUACCCUCAAUUGCGGCAAGUUUUGUUUGUCAAAUUGUAAUAUAGUUCUUACUUGUGAUGGUAGCUCCUAUGUAGAAUUAAAUUGAAUUAGAUUUGUACCUGCAAAACUGAAAAUAUGGUUAGUUAAAA
This 205-nucleotide long non-coding RNA is filed under the name Solanum tuberosum (potato). RNAcentral's name for it is "long non-coding RNA (STUB_LNC011514)". The record is from RNAcentral. Lineage: Eukaryota; Viridiplantae; Streptophyta; Magnoliopsida; Solanales; Solanaceae.